AGGCGAAAAAAGGGGCUUUGGGAGUAUUUUAACCCAUUCUUCACAUCCCUAGUACUUUCAACCAAAGCCCCCCGGGAUUAACCUGUAAUCUAAGUAAAAUUAGUGUGCUUGUUGUAAAAAGUCAGCUCAAUCAAAGUCCCUUGGGAAGCAUAUAGCAACACCUAAGGGCUUCUUAUAUAGGAAGCCAGUAGGUUGUUUUUUUUUUUCCUUAAGAAAAACAACCAGAAGAAAACAAGAAAUGCAAUGGGCUAAGGAAACCAAAUUAACGAUUCCAAAUUUAACAGCUAAUAUUGAGUGCCAAGCACUUUACAUACAAUACUUUAAGUCUCUACCAUGAUUGUAGAAGUGUGUAUUAUUCCCAUUUUACAAAUAAGGAAAUAGUCCUAUAGAAUUUAAGUAACUUCCUCAAGGCCAAACAAGAAGUAAGUUGCGGAAGAGUCAGACUUCCAACUGAGGUCUUAUUUCAAAGCGGGAGUUCUCAAACACCAUCAAACACUCCCUGUAUUAUUGAGGACUUGACAACAGACAGAUGAUACAAUGAAUAUUGCCUUUAUGACAGGUUGAGAAAAUAAUUUUAGGCAAGACCGAAAAGCACAGAAUUGAAUGGUAUGGAGUGACAUCAGUGAAAAUGGUAAAGGAGGGAAUUUCAAAACGUUGCCUCCA
Lutra lutra (Eurasian river otter) is the source of this 663-nucleotide long non-coding RNA. RefSeq lists it as uncharacterized. NCBI's taxonomy places the organism in Eukaryota, Metazoa, Chordata, Mammalia, Carnivora, Mustelidae. The transcript is spliced from 2 exons. The record is from RefSeq and is a predicted model, not a curated record.